GUUCCUAUAGCUCAGUUGGUAUUAGAGCACAAGAUUUUUAAUCUUGGAGUCUUGGGUUCAAAUCCCAAUGGGAACA
Molecule: transfer RNA, 76 nt
Filed under: Crassvirales sp.
Lineage: Duplodnaviria; Heunggongvirae; Uroviricota; Caudoviricetes; Crassvirales
Description: tRNA-Lys
Rfam family: tRNA
About the family: Transfer RNA (tRNA) molecules are approximately 80 nucleotides in length.
Source: RNAcentral